This 262-nucleotide ribosomal RNA is filed under the name uncultured prokaryote. Its description in RNAcentral is "partial 16S ribosomal RNA". It matches the Rfam family "Bacterial small subunit ribosomal RNA", at positions 524 to 784 of the family's 1533-position model. The record is from RNAcentral.
UACGUAGGGUGCGAGCGUUGUCCGGAAUUACUGGGCGUAAAGAGCUCGUAGGUGGUUUGUCACGUCGUCUGUGGAAUUCCGGGGCUUAACCUCGGGCGUGCAGGCGAUACGGGCAAUACUUGAGUGCUGUAGGGGAGACUGGAAUUCCUGGUGUAGCGGUGAAAUGCGCAGAUAUCAGGAGGAACACCAAUGGCGAAGGCAGGUCUCUGGGCAGUUACUGACGCUGAGGAGCGAAAGCAUGGGUAGCGAACAGGAUUAGAUA